RNAcentral lists this ribosomal RNA (443 nucleotides) under uncultured bacterium. RNAcentral's name for it is "partial 16S ribosomal RNA". It matches the Rfam family "Bacterial small subunit ribosomal RNA", at positions 338 to 795 of the family's 1533-position model. The record is from RNAcentral.
CCUACGGGGAGCAGCAGUGGGGAAUAUUGGGCAAUGGGCGCAAGCCUGACCCAGCAACGCCGCGUGAAGGAAGAAGGCUUUCGGGUUGUAAACUUCUUUUCUCAGGGACGAAGCAAGUGACGGUACCUGAGGAAUAAGCCACGGCUAACUACGUGCCAGCAGCCGCGGUAAUACGUAGGUGGCAAGCGUUAUCCGCAUUUACUGGUUGUAAAGGGCGUGUAGGCGGUACUGCAAGUCAGAUGUGAAAACCAUGGGAGCAACCUAUGGCCUGCAUUUGAAACUGUAGUUCUUGAGUACUGGAGAGGCAGACGGAAUUCCUAGUGUAGCGGUGAAAUGCGUAGAUAUUAGGAGGAACACCAGUGGCGAAGGCGGUCUGCUGGACAGCAACUGACGCUGAGGCGCGAAAGCGUGGGGAGCAAACAGGAUUAGAUACCCUGGUAGUC